AUGCCCAUCAUCGCCUACGUGCUACUACCCUUCUUCUCCUUGCUCUGUAGUUCGGCUUUGCCUCUGCCCCUUCACCCGGCGCAGCCCACAUCCCAGCCCCAGCAUGUGUACAUCGUCCACACCAUCGGUGUGCAGCCCUACCACACCCUGCUCCCAGUCGCAGCUAGCAACAGAGUGAUCCACGAGUACUCCACUGUCCUGACCGGCUUCGCCUGCCGGAUGACCGCCGAGGAGGCCCGCCACAUGUCCGGCCUCCCCGGCGUCAGAGCCGUCUACCAGAGCAGGGUCUUGCACACGCAGACCACAAGGUCCCCUGCCUUCCUCGGCCUCCAGGAGGAGUCCGGCGCCUGGCCGGAGUCGGACUUCGGCGACGGCGUGAUAAUCGGCCUGGUGGACACCGGCAUCACGCCAGCCCACCCCAGCUUCCACGACGCCGGCCUGGGCCCCGUCCGCUCGUCCUGGAAGGGGAGGUGCGUGCAAGGCCACGGCUUCGACGACAGCUCCUGCAACAACAAGCUCGUCGGCGCCAGAGCCUUCCUCGACGAGCUGGUCGACGGCGAGCGCGACUUCACGCCCGUCGAUCGGGACGGCCACGGCACCCACGUCGCCGCCACGGCCGCUGGCUCACCGGUGCCUGGCGCAAACCUCCUGAACUUUUCGCGAGGCGACGCGACGGGCACCGCGCCGAAAGCCAAGAUCGCCAUUUAUAAGGUCUGCUACCGCUCUCCCGGGGGCUGCCCGGACUGGGCCAUCGUGGCGGCCGUCGACGCCGCGGUGAGCGACGGCGUGGAUAUCAUCUCCAUGUCGCUCGGCGCAGGCCCGACGCCCUUCUACGACGACGUGGUGGCGGUCGCCACGUUCGGCGCGGUCCGGGCGGGCGUGUUCGUGGUCCUCGCGGGCGGUAACGCCGGGCCGAACGCGUCCACGGUGUCCAACGCCGCGCCGUGGAUGACCACCGUGGGCGCGGCCACCCUGGACCGCGUCUUCCCGGCGACGCUCAAGCUGGGCAACAGGGUUGAGCUCACCGGACAGUCCCUUUACAACAUCAAAUCGCAAGGCACGACGGCAAUCGGGCUCAUCGGAAGCACCUGCGACACCGACGAUCUGACGCCCGACCGGGUCAUGGGCAAGGUGGUGGUGUGCUCGGGCAUGGCAGGAGCCUAUACCGGCAGGUAUGUCCAGCGAGCCGGGGGCGCUGGCAUGGUCAGCACGGAGGCCAUCGAGCGAUGGGGAGAGGCGGUGAUGGCGGAGCCGUUCGGCCUGCCCGGGCUCAAGCUCAGCUACACGGCCGGGAAGACGCUGGAGAGCUACAUCUCGUCCACAGCCUACCCCGUCGCCUCCUUCAUCUUCAGGUGCGACACGGUGACCGGGUCCGGCGCGAGCCGUGCACCGUUGGUGGCCGGGUUCUCCUCCCGCGGCCCCAGCCAAUUCAACCCAGAGAUCAUCAAGCCGGACGUCAUCGCGCCCGGCGUCAAUAUCCUGGCGGCGUGGAACCAGAAGCCGGAGGGGGGAACGGAGGAGGACUACUACCUUAACAUUAUCUCGGGCACGUCGAUGGCGUGCCCGCACGUCGUCGGCGUGGCGGCGCUUAUCAAGAAGCAGCACGGUGAUUGGACGCCGGCCAUGAUCCGCUCGUCUUUGAUGACCACUGCGACGAUGCUGGACAACCGGAAGCUGCCCAUCGUGGACAGCGGCAACGACGUCGAGGCGACGCCCCUGGUGGCCGGUGCAGGGAUGGUCGUCCCGACGCUCGCCAUGGACCCGGGCCUGGUGUACGACGCCGGCGCUCAGGACUACAUCGACUUUCUCUGCAGCGUCGGCUACACGGCGGCGCAAAUCCGGCGUUUCGAGCCCGGGUUUGUCAAGUGCACCAGCACGGCGGCGACUCCGGGAGGCGCGGCCAACCUUAACUACCCGUCGAUGGUGGUCAUGUUCGACGGUGGCGUUGUCAUGCGCAGGGUCCGUAGGACGCUGACGGCGGUGUCGCAGCAGGAGGAACUCUACGAGGUGACCGUGACCGCGCCAGACGGGGUCGCGGUCACCGUCACGCCCAGGCAGCUCCACUUCAGCCAGUACAUGGAGAAGAAGACGUACAUCCUGGACUUCAAGCUCAAUACUGAGGCGGUGAAGCCGGCGGGGACAUGGGAGUUCGCCGAGAUCGCGUGGAAGAGCAAGCACCACCACGUCCGGAGCCCGGUGGCGUUCGGCUACUGA
Molecule: ribosomal RNA, 2214 nt
Filed under: Triticum aestivum (bread wheat)
Lineage: Eukaryota; Viridiplantae; Streptophyta; Magnoliopsida; Poales; Poaceae
Description: partial small subunit ribosomal RNA
Source: RNAcentral